AAGGGAGAGUAAUAGAUAGAUAGCUGCCCUCGGGUCUGGGAUAGCGGCGGGAAACUGCCGGUAAUACCAGAUAAUGUCUCCGGACCAAAGGUUUACCACCCGAGGAGGCGUCUGUUUCCUAUCAGCUUGUUGGCGGGGUAACGGCCCACCAAGGCUACGACGGGUAUGGGGUGUGAGAGCAUGCCCCCACUCACUGGGACUGAGAUACUGCCCAGACACCUACGGGUGGCUGCAGUCGAGAAUCUUCGGCAAUGGGCGCAAGCCUGACCGAGCGAUGCCGCGUGCGGGAUGAAGGCCUUCGGGUUGUAAACCGCUGUCGUAGGGGAGCAAGGGGAAACCUUGAGCGAUCCUAGGAGGAAGGACGGGCUAAGUUCGUGCCAGCAGCCGCGGUAAUACGAACCGUCCAAACGUUAUUCGGAAUCACUGGGCUUAAAGAGUCCGUAGGCGGCUCAGAAAGUAGGGUGUGAAAUCCCACGGCCUAACCGUGGAACUGCGCUCUAAACUACUGAGCUUGAGGGAGAUAGAGGUAAGCGGAACUGAUGGUGGAGCGGUGAAAUGCGUUGA
This 564-nucleotide ribosomal RNA is filed under the name uncultured bacterium. RNAcentral describes it as "bacterial SSU rRNA". It matches the Rfam family "Bacterial small subunit ribosomal RNA", at positions 102 to 694 of the family's 1533-position model. The record is from RNAcentral.